This 3477-nucleotide small RNA is filed under the name Arabidopsis thaliana (thale cress). RNAcentral describes it as "ATSL054970". The record is from RNAcentral. Lineage: Eukaryota; Viridiplantae; Streptophyta; Magnoliopsida; Brassicales; Brassicaceae.
AAAAAGUUGACCAAAAUAAUAUCCAAAGUUCCAAACCAUGUGGGUUAAACCGUUAAGGUAAGUUGUAAAAAAAAAAACCGUUAAGGUAAAUGCGCGCGUAUGAUUUGUCGUGUAGUGAACUAUGAAUAAAUGCUAAAUAUGGUCGGCCACUACAUUAUAUUCUCAUAUUCCAGAAUCCUUUGUUAUAUAUUGCUGUGUCGGCAAUAAUAUGAAUGACUUUGAAAAGUAUACACAAUAAUGCAAUAUAUAUGUAAGUAAUUAUUUUCAUUAGGGAGGAGACCCGCGCGUUGCACGGGGUGGUUUGUUUUUGGUUUUGUUAGUAUGUAAUUAUAACUUCGAUUUUUUUUACUGAUCUUUGAUUAAAAGGGGAAUAUCUUUGUUAUUUGCACCCCUCAUUUUAGUUCGGCCCAAAUCAAGAAUAAACUAAUCAACAUCAAUCCCAAAAAGCCCAUAAAAGUUGGUCCAUAUCACCAGCUUAGUUUUUCUAUAAAUAGAGAGGCAUCUCAAGGAAAAAAGGAGGAAGAAAUCCAUAUUAAAACGUCUUCAAGCUCCUCAGCUCGUUCUCUAGCUCCUCUGCUCGUCCUCAAGCUUAUCCGCUCGCUCUCAAGCUCCUCAGCUCGUCUUCAAGCUUCUCAGCUCGUUCUCAAGCUCCUCUGCUCGUCCUCUAGCUCCUCUGCUUGUCCUCAAGCACUUCAGCUCGCCCUCAAGCUCCUCUGCUGGUCCUCAAGCUCCUCAACUGGUCCUCAAGCUCCUCAGCUCGUCUUUAAGCUCUCCAGCUCGUCUUUAAGUUCAGCUCGUCUUCAAGCUCCACCACUCAACGACCAUCUCCUCGCCUAGCUGUCAGCUAGUCAGCUCGUCCAAUUCCUCACUUAGUCGUUAGCUCGUCCCUCAAGUGCAUAAAUCUAUCUCCUCACCUAGCUGCCAGUUCGUCCAUUGACUACACAAUCCGCCUAUCUCGUCUCCCAGCUCGUCUAUACUUUCACCAGAACUCGAUUUGUCCGGCUCGUCUCUCUACUACAUUUCGUCUAGCUUGGCCCCUGGCUACCAGCUCGUCACUCAAAUACUCAGUUCGUCUAACUCGUUGUCUAUCAACCAGUUCGCCUCGUAACUAAGUUCGUCCAGCUCUUCGCCUACCUGCCAGCUCGUCACACAUCUGCUAGCUCGUCGCCUAGCUGCCAGCUCGUCACCAACCUGCCACCUCCUCUCUAAACUGCCUAUCUCAAUAUACGACCUACCUCCAACGAUGACCUAGCUCACUUAUUAUAAUAUGAACUACGUAUUCUGACCAAUUUUAUUUGUGGUACUGUCGUUGGCCAAAACCAAAACAGAGGCUCAAUAGCUUGGAAGUCCUUGGGCCUUUAAAAGUUUCAGGCGUGGCUGUUUGUAAUUUAUGUAAUCGACUAUCUCCAGAUCCAAUUUGAGAGGGAGUUGAUUCUGUUGAAAUCUAUCCAUCGUUUUUGCUAUUUUUCCUACAAAUCUAUUAGAUGUAAGUAAGACUUCAGAUGAGUGAAAUUUGAAUGAAUAAGAGAUCUAGUUAUUGAAUUUCAUUGUUUUCUGAUUCUCGUUUCCUCAUUAUUUGAAUAUGUUUUUUUUGCAGAUGGUUGAGCUAAUUUGAUUUGGUGGAUGUUGUUUUCGCUUAAUAUAAUUGGUGGAGGAGUGAAUUUAUCCUUAUCAUUUAGUAGAGCUUCGUCUUAUUUUGUUUAAUCUGUCCGUCAGUGUAAAUUGGAUAUAGUACCUAUGUGACCGUGGUAAGUAUAUAACAAAUUUUAGCAUUUCAUGUUUUUAUUGAUGAUAUCUGUUGAUAAAAAAUCAGUAAUAAAUAAAUUGGAGAUGGGUGGAUAAUGUUGUUACAUGCGUAACAAUACAAAGUGUGUUGUAAAACUUGUAACGAAUCCAUUAAGAAAUAGUGGAGAAAAUUUCAAAGCUUUUGAAAUAUAUUUGUCUGAGGUGCUACUUUGUUUCGCAUUUUGCACUUCUUUUUCUUCGAAUUCUUCAUUUUCACCUAAUGGAAUUUUAAUGUUUGGAAACUUGUAUUAGGUUUAAUGUUAGAUAAAUUGUGGUGAAAAAAACAUAUUGUUGACUUGAGUAAGAAAUGUUUGGGUUAUUUACUUGCAUAAGUGUCUGCUUCUAAUUCAGGUUUCCAAAAUAUCUGGCUUUUUGUGGUGUUCACCAUUCUGUUGACCUACAUAAGAGUAUGUAAAUAGUUGUCAGUUUCUAUCUUUGAAGACAAUAAGCAGUUUUAACUAAUUCCUGCUCAUAUAUGGACGGUCAUUGUUAGGAUUUUUUACCUGUAAUUGCUGGUAGACCAUUAAAAACUUCUCUGUAGACUAUGUUAGUAACAUACUUGCCUUCUUUUUUUUUGGAUGUGUCUAGAACUGUUAGUCCUUUUGGGGAUGUGACGCGUGACAAAGCAACGUAUAGUUGGCCGUGGCUGAAGACUGGUUUUGGUAGAUACAAUGCCACUCUAUUCAAGGUUUGUCCUUGGCUUUUAUUUAUCGUCAUAGCGUAGCACAUACGUACUGGAAACUGACGCCUUCUUAGAGUGAAUGGAUGCUUGGAAUCUUGUGGUGAUAGUAUAAUCCUUGGGAUUAACACUUUUUUCCUUUCUUUUGUUGUAUCUGAAAGAAUCUCAGCUUUAAGUACUUUGUCUCCCAAAUGAGUUACAAUAAGCCUUGUUCCAUUGCAUAACCCUUCUUUUUGGUUAAGAUUUCUAAGUAGCAUAAUUGGUACUCCAACCUUUAAGCAUAGUCUAUGCGCUGGUAAUCCUGGAAACUCUAAUGAAUUUAGAUAUUCCAUGGGGUAUGACAUCUCAAAUCCUUCUUCUGUUAGUGCUUCAUCCCGAUCGAUACUGUCAGCGCUGAAAUAUUCCUUUGCUAAACCAGGCACUUUAGAGAGCAAAUAAUCGUUGAUUUCAUCAACGGUUUCAUUUCGUGGAGUUAAAACAGCUGUACCUUUAAGGUUCUCCAAGUCUUGAAAUGUGUUUGUAAAAUCCGGAAAAACUGAUCGGCAUAACACCUCUAGUGGGUUUUCUGUCUCUGGUAGCAGGAGAUUUUUGUCAAUUAUGAUGUUAUCUUCUUCUUGAUCAUCAUCUAUACCAUGGGUUUUUCUGGGUGCUUCUCCAUCCCCUACUUGCAAAAUCCAUUCUGCAAAUUUUAUUUCCUCAGGUUGCACUCUCAUAUUUUGUGAAAGCAAGUAUUUAUGACACGACUCCCAUAAAUAUGACCGAUUUAUUGCUGCGCUAACAGUUUCUUGUCUGGUUCCCUGUGGUAUCACUGGUAAGAUUUGUCUAAAAUCACCACCUAAAAGAACUGUUUUCCCACCAAAAGUUUUGGUUAGUGCCUUUUCGUCACCCACUGACAGAAUAUCUCUCAAUGUUCGAUCUACUGCUUCGAAGGUAUGGCGGUGUGCCAUUGGUGCCUCAUCCCAAAUAAUAAGAUCCACUUUACUAAGUACAUUGGCUAGCAUUGAACCUAUUUU